RNAcentral lists this small nuclear RNA (307 nucleotides) under Sorex araneus (European shrew). RNAcentral describes it as "7SK RNA (ENSSARG00000019195.1)". It matches the Rfam family "7SK RNA". From Rfam's summary of the family: 7SK was discovered as an abundant small nuclear RNA in the mid-70s but a possible function has only recently been suggested. Two independent studies have found that 7SK RNA binds the CDK9/cyclin T complex (known as elongation factor P-TEFb). P-TEFb activates transcription by phosphorylating the C-terminal domain of RNA polymerase II. The record is from RNAcentral. Lineage: Eukaryota; Metazoa; Chordata; Mammalia; Eulipotyphla; Soricidae.
GCUUGUGAGGGUGAUGGGGCUGCAACACAUUACCCCACUGAUACUGGGAUUGAUUACGCGGAUCAGACUGGGUAGGCCUGCAUCCCCUCCCACCUUCAUUGCUCCCUGUGUGUCCUUCCCAAAGCUGCACACUGAGCCAGAGAGGACAACCUUCCCCAAACAGCAACUGCCAUUCUUCAGUUGAGGGUAUACAAAUAGCCGGGUUCCCCAGUGAGAACCUCCAAACAAGCUCUCGAUAUAUUGCCAGCAACACAACAGCAGCAGCAGAUUUUAACAGUCCCUCUCACUAUUGGAUAGACUGACCAGA